AGCAUCUGCAGGGCUCAGAGCAAAAUGAAAAUGUGGAUCCCCUUGUGCACAUAUUAUCAAGAAUUUCAAAAUGAUGACAGCAGAGCCUUAACCCACCACAAAGCCCUUCAAAGCGUGGGGCCCUGUGUGACUGCAGAGGUCAGAUGUCCAUGAAGCUGGGGCUGCUAAGGAACCUCAGGAUGUCUUGGGGACCUCAAGAAGAGAGGAAUUCACCCAAAUCUACAGAAGCCACAAAACUACAAAUAGUAAUAGAAAUGGAACCUGGAAUAGAAGUGCCCAUCUUCUGAGGCCCUCUCAACUGACCAGUGAUGGAGACCUAGCUGCACCCUUUACUGUGCCUCUUCUCAGCAUGAAGCAGCCAGAGCGGUCAUUGCCCCCUUUCCCUAGCAGCAGCUAGAGUCUCUAUCUGUAGAGGGGGAAUGAGACAGGGACGAUGGACUUAGACAGAGUAGGGUGAGGGCCUCUGGAAAAAGUAAGGCAAGAUAUUUACAGUCCAAACAAUGUCACAGUGUAAAGUCCGUAUCAAAACUCUGUGUUCAGCAUUAUGCAAAGUCAAGGUCACACUAAUUCUCUAGGGUAAAUAUACUAGACUAGGAAUAUUAGACAUCUUCAGUGAGAUCAGUUUAAGGUCAAAAGGCCAGAAGCAACUUGGCCUGGAAUGUUUUGAGUGUUCUGCAAGGGUAUCUUAUCAUAACCGGUGACUUCACUGUAAACAGCCGUAAGAAACAGACAACAACCCAGCCCACCUUGAGGGCAGGGCAGAUGGUACAAGUCCACACCCUAAGCCCUCAAUUCCCAAAAAUCCUCAACUGCAUAUAAAUGCCCUAGACAACGCACCACCCCGGGCUCUCUUGUCCCCUCCUGGAGUAAGCCAGAAGCUCUGUCUAUCUUCUCACUGUCUCUCUCAAUAAAAGUCUCCCUGGCUCUCCUAAAAAAAA
This is a long non-coding RNA of Manis pentadactyla (Chinese pangolin), 938 nucleotides long. RefSeq lists it as uncharacterized. NCBI's taxonomy places the organism in Eukaryota, Metazoa, Chordata, Mammalia, Pholidota, Manidae. The transcript is spliced from 2 exons. The record is from RefSeq and is a predicted model, not a curated record.